GGAAACACAACAUGAUGGAACUCAAUUGAUCCAAAUUUGAGAGAAAUUAACUUUUGUAAAAAAUAGGAUUUUUUUUGGAUCCUGGUUUUUUCCCCCUAUAAAAUUGCAAGCCUGCAAGUCGGAUUUAAAAGUUCGAUACCUCCUUCUCCCUGGAAAAGAGAAACCUCUUUCUCAGAAAGAUGCCAUCAACAAGGAUAAUGGACAAUAUAAAAGGAAUCCAGGAAGAGAAGUAAAGGAGCAGGAACAGUUGCAUCAGGAAGAAGCAAGUCAAAGAGAGAGGGGAGGGGAGAGUGGAGGAGAGAGCUGAUAGUGUCUCCACAACAGUUGGGGAAUGUGAGAGCUUGGGGCUGUUCCAGACCAGCCAUGGCUUUGAAGGGCCUCCUUUCCAUGCAUCCCACUGCUGACAGGACUGUGAGCAUGAGGCACUUUUCAGUCUUCCUUUGGUCGCAAGAUGACAGUGAGAAUGGAUUGUCAAACUGGACCACUAUGACAAUUUACUCUGGGGGAGAAAAUCCUGUGGGUGUUCAGAAGCUUUACUGUAAGUUAUAUUUGAUUAACUUAUCCUACUACUGACAAAUAAUUAGGUCAGCAAUUAAUUUCAAAAUGCAAAUGUGCUACAGGCCUUCAUAUUUUAAGAAAUUCCCUUUGUCUUUAGCUUCUACUUGUGUUGAAGUCUUAAUGGAUUUAGCUGAAUGAAGAAACAAAAUUAUGUUUUCUAAUGCUUUAUUUACUUGGUUGAGUUGGACUUUUUCAGCAAAUAUUGACAGCAAAUGUUUGUUCAGAAAUGAUCAUGUGGGAUGGAAUUAAUGGGGUAAGAAAAUGGAAGAGUAAUGAUGAACCACUCAUUUAAAAUAUAUAUACAUAUAUACAUAUAUACAUAUAUAUAUAUAUAUAUAUAUAUAUUCACAUUUCUGCUGCAAAAUAUUUAUCUACCUUCAUGAAAUAGGAACAGAAAGAAAAACAAGGGUCAAGAGGAGAUCAUUGUGGCAAAUUCAAUAGUACCUGCUUAAGCAGUCUAAGAAACCAGGAUAUAUCAUAAAAAACUCAUACCUAACAUUGAUACAAGUGUGUCUCAAAGAUACCUAUCUACCAGCCUUUCUCAGGGACUUUAUUAUUAAACAAACACAGAUUAAAGGCUCAACCCUUCCCAAGAGAAAUUCAAGGGAGUUUUAUGUUGACUUUAAGGGAGUGAGGAACCUAAGUCUGUAUUUUCUGUGAUUAAAAUCAUGCCAUUUUUUAGAAAAUAUUCAAAAUAUGCUGCUGUAAACAAAACCAACCAGCUAUCCUGAUUUACAAUCGAAAUGAAUUUACAUAGGUGGAAGAAUUAUAUUAGAAUUUUCUAUGUGUUAUUUUGCCCAAAUAUUUCAAGUCAAGCAGAAUAACCACUCAAAAAUUAGGUGAGGGUUUUUCACAAAAUUUUUACUGACUUGAAGAAAAAAAAAAUUAUAUGCUUAAUGAUGCAAGCCAAUUUGAAAGAAAUAAUGGUUUAAAAAAAGUCAGGUUUUGAGUUUUCUGGGCCUUUUUGGUUCAAAAUGGUGCUUUCACAUCACAUUUGCUUAAAUUAGUAAUGAAAAUAAUUACAUGAGAAAAAGAAAAAAACAGAAGAAAGAUAAAACUAAACAUUGCAUUUUUUAGGGGAUUUUAAUUUUAGAAUGAAAAAAGAGGGAGAAAGGGAAGAAUUGCAUGGGGUCAAAUGUGUCUCAUGCAUGGAAAAAGCUUGAUUUCCAUUCUCCUCCAAAACACCCAGGACCCUCUUUUCCUCUUAAGCAUCUCCUGAAGAACUUUGAAGAUUCCACUACGUAGGAGCAGGCAACACAAAACUGAAGCUUGAUUUUGAAUGAGGGAGAACCUCUCUCUCCCUCUCUCUUUCUCCUCCCAGAGUUAUAGGAAAGAAAAUGAGAACCAUAUCUGGGUGAGAGGGCUGAGCUGUUGGGAGCUGAGCAGCCAGAAGCUUUCUUGUAAGAUAAAGCAACAAUCAUGCUGCUCAGCUGUACACUGACAGGGACCCCAUUAAAGAAUCACUUUUCAAAAAAGAUACAGCUGCCUUCAAAAGCAUCCUAAGGAGAGAAGUGGAAAUGAUCAGAAAUUUGGGAAAUGUCACCUGCAAAGAAAUCUGAACUGGGGUGAUUUCAUCUGGAAAAGAAAAUGAGUGGACAUAAAACCCAAAUACUUCUAAUGUUAAAAGCCUUCUGGGAAGAGGCAGGGAAGAGUUUGUGUUUCAGGACUACAGCCAGAUGACAGAAAGUGACAGUACUACAUUGAAACAAAGGAGUCAGAUCAAAUGCUGGCCAAAAUUUUCUCACAGUGAAGACAUCGAAGCUGUGGAAAUUAUUGUUUUUGGAGGGUCUGGAGUCCCCCUCACUGAAGACCUUUGAGAAUAGGCUGCACAAGCUACUUUCCAAAAUAAUGUGAAUAUAGUUUUUAGCUGAAACCAAUUCCUUAGCAGUUAUUACAUUGAUAUUUUUAAUUGAUUUUAAGAAAUUGAAGGAACUCUUGCUUUUGUGGUAGGAUAAAAUAAACUUUUAAGUUAAUCUAGGGCA
RNAcentral lists this long non-coding RNA (2540 nucleotides) under Parus major (Great Tit). Its description in RNAcentral is "lncRNA (ENSPMJG00000011646.1)". Lineage: Eukaryota; Metazoa; Chordata; Aves; Passeriformes; Paridae. The record is from RNAcentral.